This 76-nucleotide transfer RNA is filed under the name Actinomycetes bacterium. RNAcentral describes it as "tRNA-Gly". It matches the Rfam family "tRNA". Rfam says of the family: Transfer RNA (tRNA) molecules are approximately 80 nucleotides in length. Their secondary structure includes four short double-helical elements and three loops (D, anti-codon, and T loops). Lineage: Bacteria; Bacillati; Actinomycetota; Actinomycetes. RNAcentral also lists the same sequence under 2 other names. The record is from RNAcentral.
GCGGAAGUAGCUCAGCUGGUAGAGCAUCACCUUGCCAAGGUGGGGGUCGCGGGUUCGAACCCCGUCUUCCGCUCCA